This 515-nucleotide ribosomal RNA is filed under the name Streptomyces sp. S2.CEL.005. RNAcentral describes it as "bacterial SSU rRNA". It matches the Rfam family "Bacterial small subunit ribosomal RNA", at positions 20 to 552 of the family's 1533-position model. Lineage: Bacteria; Bacillati; Actinomycetota; Actinomycetes; Kitasatosporales; Streptomycetaceae. The record is from RNAcentral.
UGGCUCAGGACGAACGCUGGCGGCGUGCUUAACACAUGCAAGUCGAACGGUGAAGCCCUUCGGGGUGGAUCAGUGGCGAACGGGUGAGUAACACGUGGGCAAUCUGCCCUGCACUCUGGGACAAGCCCUGGAAACGGGGUCUAAUACCGGAUAUGACCUUCCUCCGCAUGGGGGUUGGUGUAAAGCUCCGGCGGUGCAGGAUGAGCCCGCGGCCUAUCAGCUUGUUGGUGGGGUAAUGGCCUACCAAGGCGACGACGGGUAGCCGGCCUGAGAGGGCGACCGGCCACACUGGGACUGAGACACGGCCCAGACUCCUACGGGAGGCAGCAGUGGGGAAUAUUGCACAAUGGGCGAAAGCCUGAUGCAGCGACGCCGCGUGAGGGAUGACGGCCUUCGGGUUGUAAACCUCUUUCAGCAGGGAAGAAGCGCAAGUGACGGUACCUGCAGAAGAAGCACCGGCUAACUACGUGCCAGCAGCCGCGGUAAUACGUAGGGUGCGAGCGUUGUCCGGAAUU